Molecule: ribosomal RNA, 1427 nt
Filed under: Staphylococcus aureus
Lineage: Bacteria; Bacillati; Bacillota; Bacilli; Caryophanales; Staphylococcaceae
Description: bacterial LSU rRNA
Rfam family: Bacterial large subunit ribosomal RNA
Source: RNAcentral
UGGGUUAGUCGGGUCCUAAGCUGAGGCCGACAGGCGUAGGCGAUGGAUAACAGGUUGAUAUUCCUGUACCACCUAUAAUCGUUUUAAUCGAUGGGGGGACGCAGUAGGAUAGGCGAAGCGUGCGAUUGGAUUGCACGUCUAAGCAGUAAGGCUGAGUAUUAGGCAAAUCCGGUACUCGUUAAGGCUGAGCUGUGAUGGGGAGAAGACAUUGUGUCUUCGAGUCGUUGAUUUCACACUGCCGAGAAAAGCCUCUAGAUAGAAAAUAGGGGCCCGUACCGCAAACCGACACAGGUAGUCAAGAUGAGAAUUCUAAGGUGAGCGAGCGAACUCUCGUUAAGGAACUCGGCAAAAUGACCCCGUAACUUCGGGAGAAGGGGUGCUCUUUAGGGUUAACGCCCAGAAGAGCCGCAGUGAAUAGGCCCAAGCGACUGUUUAUCAAAAACACAGGUCUCUGCUAAACCGUAAGGUGAUGUAUAGGGGCUGACGCCUGCCCGGUGCUGGAAGGUUAAGAGGAGUGGUUAGCUUCUGCGAAGCUACGAAUCGAAGCCCCAGUAAACGGCGGCCGUAACUAUAACGGUCCUAAGGUAGCGAAAUUCCUUGUCGGGUAAGUUCCGACCCGCACGAAAGGCGUAACGAUUUGGGCACUGUCUCAACGAGAGACUCGGUGAAAUCAUAGUACCUGUGAAGAUGCAGGUUACCCGCGACAGGACGGAAAGACCCCGUGGAGCUUUACUGUAGCCUGAUAUUGAAAUUCGGCACAGCUUGUACAGGAUAGGUAGGAGCCUUUGAAACGUGAGCGCUAGCUUACGUGGAGGCGCUGGUGGGAUACUACCCUAGCUGUGUUGGCUUUCUAACCCGCACCACUUAUCGUGGUGGGAGACAGUGUCAGGCGGGCAGUUUGACUGGGGCGGUCGCCUCCUAAAAGGUAACGGAGGCGCUCAAAGGUUCCCUCAGAAUGGUUGGAAAUCAUUCAUAGAGUGUAAAGGCAUAAGGGAGCUUGACUGCGAGACCUACAAGUCGAGCAGGGUCGAAAGACGGACUUAGUGAUCCGGUGGUUCCGCAUGGAAGGGCCAUCGCUCAACGGAUAAAAGCUACCCCGGGGAUAACAGGCUUAUCUCCCCCAAGAGUUCACAUCGACGGGGAGGUUUGGCACCUCGAUGUCGGCUCAUCGCAUCCUGGGGCUGUAGUCGGUCCCAAGGGUUGGGCUGUUCGCCCAUUAAAGCGGUACGCGAGCUGGGUUCAGAACGUCGUGAGACAGUUCGGUCCCUAUCCGUCGUGGGCGUAGGAAAUUUGAGAGGAGCUGUCCUUAGUACGAGAGGACCGGGAUGGACAUACCUCUGGUGUACCAGUUGUCGUGCCAACGGCAUAGCUGGGUAGCUAUGUGUGGACGGGAUAAGUGCUGAAAGCAUCUAAGCAUGAAGCCCCCC